GACGAACGCUGGCGGCGUGCCUAAUACAUGCAAGUAGAACGCUGAAGCGAGGAGCUUGCUCUUCUUGGGUGAGUUGCGCACGGGUGAGUAACGCGUAGGUAACCUGCCUUGUAGCGGGGGAUAACUAUUGGAAACGAUAGCUAAUACCGCAUAACAAUGGAUGACACAUGUCAUUUAUUUGAAAGGGGCAAUUGCUCCACUACAAGAUGGACCUGCGUUGUAUUAGCUAGUAGGUGAGGUAAUGGCUCACCUAGGCGACGAUACAUAGCCGACCGGAGAGGGUGAGCAGCCAGACUGAGACGGAGACCCGCCACAGAGGCCUACGGGAGGCAGCAGGAGGGAAUCUUGGGCAAGGGGGGCAACCCUGUCCGAGCUACGCCGCGUGAGGGAAGAAGGUUUUCGGGUCGGAAAGCUCUGUUGUAAGUCAAGAACGGGUGUGAGAGUGGAAAGUUCACACUGUGACGGUAGCUGACCAGAAAGGGACGGCUAACUACGUG
This 497-nucleotide ribosomal RNA is filed under the name uncultured bacterium. RNAcentral's name for it is "partial 16S ribosomal RNA". It matches the Rfam family "Bacterial small subunit ribosomal RNA", at positions 28 to 507 of the family's 1533-position model. The record is from RNAcentral.